RNAcentral lists this ribosomal RNA (459 nucleotides) under Citrobacter sp. Its description in RNAcentral is "bacterial SSU rRNA". It matches the Rfam family "Bacterial small subunit ribosomal RNA", at positions 80 to 534 of the family's 1533-position model. Lineage: Bacteria; Pseudomonadati; Pseudomonadota; Gammaproteobacteria; Enterobacterales; Enterobacteriaceae. The record is from RNAcentral.
CUGCUUUGCUGACGAGUGGCGGACGGCGUGAGUAAUGUCUGGGAAACUGCCCGAUGGAGGGGGAUAACUACUGGAAACGGUAGCUAAUACCGCAUAAUGUCGCAAGACCAAAGAGGGGGACCUUCGGGCCUCUUGCCAUCGGAUGUGCCCAGAUGGGAUUAGCUAGUUGGUGAGGUAACGGCUCACCAAGGCGACGAUCCCUAGCUGGUCUGAGAGGAUGACCAGCCACACUGGAACUGAGACACGGUCCAGACUCCUACGGGAGGCAGCAGUGGGGAAUAUUGCACAAUGGGCGCAAGCCUGAUGCAGCCAUGCCGCGUGUAUGAAGAAGGCCUUCGGGUUGUAAAGUACUUUCAGCGGGGAGGAAGGGGUUAAGGUUAAUAACCUUAGCCAUUGACGUUACCCGCAGAAGAAGCACCGGCUAACUCCGUGCCAGCAGCCGCGGUAAUACGGAGGGUG